UACGUAGGGACCAAGCGUUGUUCGGAUUUACUGGGCGUAAAGGGCGCGUAGGCGGCCCGUCAAGUCCCGUGUGAAAGCCCCCGGCUCAACCGGGGAACGGCGCGGGAAACUAGCAGGCUUGAGUUCGGGAGAGGGAAGCGGAAUUCCGGGUGUAGCGGUGAAAUGCGCAGAUAUCCGGAGGAACACCGGUGGCGAAGGCGGCUUCCUGGACCGACACUGACGCCGAGACGCGAAAGCGUGGGGAGCGAACAGG
Molecule: ribosomal RNA, 253 nt
Filed under: uncultured bacterium
Lineage: Bacteria
Description: partial 16S ribosomal RNA
Rfam family: Bacterial small subunit ribosomal RNA
Source: RNAcentral